CAGCACCUCAAGUGGUCAGGAUGAUUAUUGGGCCUAAAGCAUCCGUAGCCGGCUCUGUAAGUUUUCGGUUAAAUCUGUAUGCUCAACAUACAGGCUGCCGGGAAUACUGCAGAGCUAGGGAGUGGGAGAGGUAGGCGGUACUCGGUAGGAAGGGGUAAAAUCCUUUGAUCUAUUGAUGACCACCUGUGGCGAAGGCGGUCUACCAGAACACGUCCGACGGUGAGGGAUGAAAGCUAGGGGAGCAAUCCGGAUUAGAUACCCGAGUAGUCC
RNAcentral lists this ribosomal RNA (270 nucleotides) under uncultured archaeon. RNAcentral describes it as "partial 16S ribosomal RNA". It matches the Rfam family "Archaeal small subunit ribosomal RNA", at positions 477 to 747 of the family's 1478-position model. The record is from RNAcentral.